Long non-coding RNA from Perca fluviatilis (European perch), 439 nucleotides. RefSeq lists it as uncharacterized. Lineage: Eukaryota; Metazoa; Chordata; Actinopteri; Perciformes; Percidae. The transcript is spliced from 3 exons. The record is from RefSeq and is a predicted model, not a curated record.
GAGCAGAACGUGUGUAAGGCAGGGUUGUAAAAUAGGAAUGUGUAAGUGUCCUCUUACAACAGGCCAAGGAAGUGUCUGAGCCCCCAAAAAGUCUGCACACCCGCACUAAUGCUCGCCCCUAAAUAGGCAAUAAAGUGUUUACCACAUGUUUGGAAGAAACAUGUGCUUCAUUCAGCCUACUCUCCCACUCGGCUUUGCAUACAGACCGUCACUUCAUUCAGAGGAGUCAAAAUGAUUCAGUCACAGUACUUUUCAGAAAUCAAUGACGAGGACUUUAGAGAUAUCGUAAUCACAGAUGACGAUUUUGGCGUGAUAGAUGACAGAGGCGUUGCAUAUAACAAUCAAAAUCCAGCAGUCUUUACAGGGGUUAUUGAAAUUGAGGAGGUAAUGCCUGAAGAAAGACCACGGGCCAACGGGCAGCCAAUUGUGCUGCGAGACG